ACAUUGUGUAAUUAUACAUAUGCUUAUUUUACGGACCUGCGGCUUGCAGUUAUUAGCCGAACGGCAGCAGACUCUUGCCGCAGCAACAAACAUUUUCAAUUUCCCAGCGACGCCAGGUGUGCGCCGCUGUGGGCGCAAAAUUCAGGGGGCGGCGGCAGGUGGAAGAGGUGGUGUGUGUGUGUGUGUUCAAAGCUCGGGAGCAGCGCCGCGAGCAUUCCAAACCGAAACAAGGUGAUGUGGCCAGGAUGACGACGGUGCUGGAAAUGUGGCUCACAGUUACCGCUGAUGAGGAAAUUGUUUCGAAAAUCACCGGGAAAGUGCAAUACGCUUGGAAAUC
Non-coding RNA from Drosophila melanogaster (fruit fly), 337 nucleotides. The record is from Ensembl. Lineage: Eukaryota; Metazoa; Arthropoda; Insecta; Diptera; Drosophilidae.